This 356-nucleotide long non-coding RNA is filed under the name Capsella rubella. Its description in RNAcentral is "long non-coding RNA (CRUB_LNC003134)". The record is from RNAcentral. Lineage: Eukaryota; Viridiplantae; Streptophyta; Magnoliopsida; Brassicales; Brassicaceae.
UUCUUUAUUCUUUCGGCAAUUCUUCUCGAUAGAACAUCUUCCGUGGCCAUUUAAUAUUUUAGGGUCGAGAUACUUUGCUUCACUUUCGGGUUCAAUCUUCUUGAGUAUGAUAACGUACGUCUCCGGCUACAUCUUCACGUACAUCUCUCAAUAGAGUUGCAUUUCUUUUUUUUUUUUUGUCAACAUUGGGCCACAAUUGGCCGGCCCAUUAGCCAAAUCCCUACAAAUAUGUAGGGAGCGGGACUCGAUCCCUGGUGUGAUGGUGUCUGUCCAACAGUGGACUUAUCAAUUGCCACUAGACUAAGGACACUUCACUAGAGUUGCAUUUCUAUCGAUAAUGUUUUGAUAUAUCAUCC